AGCGAACGCUGGCGGCAGGCCUAACACAUGCAAGUCGAACGAACUCUUCGGAUUUAGUGGCGGACGGGUGCGUAACACGUGGGAACGUGCCUUUAGGUUCGGAAUAACUCAGGGAAACUUGUGCUAAUACCGAAUGUGUCCUUCGUGGGAAAGAUGUAUCGCCUUUAGAUCGGCGCGCGUCUGUUUAGCUAGUUGGGGAGGUAAAGGCUCACCAAGGCGACGUUCAGUAGCUGGUCUGAGAGGAUGAUCAGCCACAUUGGGACUGAGACACGGCCCAAACUCCUACGGGAGGCAGCAGUGGGGAAUCUUGCGGAAUGGGCGAAAGCCUGACGCAGCCAUGCCGGGUGAAUGAUGAAGGUCUUAGGAUUGUAAAAUUCUUUCACCGGGGACGAUAAUGACGGUACCCGGAGAAGAAGCCCCGGCUAACUUCGUG
This 433-nucleotide ribosomal RNA is filed under the name uncultured bacterium. RNAcentral describes it as "partial 16S ribosomal RNA". It matches the Rfam family "Bacterial small subunit ribosomal RNA", at positions 29 to 507 of the family's 1533-position model. The record is from RNAcentral.